GCUUGUCAUUAAUGAUCUUCUGGGAUCCACUGGGGACUUACCGGAUAUAUCUGUCACGGACGGUCACAGCGCAGUUGGACAUGCUGCUUUACCAGAAUCCAGUGAAUACAGUGGAAAAAUCUUUAGGAAUCCUGGAUCACUUUUUGAGACACUCGAAAAGAAGGCCUUGGAGGCACCAAUGUUUACUCUGCUUUUGCUGACUCUAAGCUAAGAAGAGGACGAGGGCCAUAAAACAAUGGAAGGAUUGGGAAUAAAGGAGCUAUGCCAGAAGUUGUCUGAAGAAUUCUCUGACAUGAGGGAAGAUGGAAUGAUGAAGAAGAAAUGGAAAGAGCAAAGUGUAAAAAAAUAGCUGCAACUAUAUAAUGAGUUCUCCACUUUUUGUAGGCAAAGAUCAGGAAACAACCUGGAGAAUAAAGACCCUGGACAGAUUUUCAAGCUAGUGUAAAAAUGUUCAGCACCUCACAAAUAGGAGGGCACCCUGGGACAAGCCAGCUAACUACAGCGACCUUUGCAGGAUUAUGCUCCUGCAACAGCCUGCACACACUGGCAUGAACCCUUGCACAAAGAACAUAAGCAGUGCCCUGAGGCUUCUGUUAUUCUUGUCUGGAGAACUGAAACAUGACUAAUAUGAGGUGCAACGAACAUGCUCUUUACUCCCUUGUCUGGCUAUUGAAAAUACACCACAAUUUUCCCUUUUCAGAGGCCUAGAUUCAGAGAAGAAAGAUAAGACCAGAUCCACACAAACCUGUAGGCAGGUUAACUGCCUUUCCUACUUUUUAGCAAUUUCAUAAUAUUGUCUCAUGAGGAAAAUUCAUAAAUCCAAUUUGGCAAUUUGAGAGAGGAAUUUAUAACACAUAAAACAGUCCACAGGAUUAGAUUAAGUUUAUUUAUAGCAGAUUAUGAGGAGCUUGCUAU
Molecule: non-coding RNA, 915 nt
Organism: Cyanistes caeruleus (blue tit)
Lineage: Eukaryota; Metazoa; Chordata; Aves; Passeriformes; Paridae
Source: RefSeq, a predicted model, not a curated record